This 253-nucleotide ribosomal RNA is filed under the name uncultured bacterium. RNAcentral describes it as "partial 16S ribosomal RNA". It matches the Rfam family "Bacterial small subunit ribosomal RNA", at positions 524 to 776 of the family's 1533-position model. The record is from RNAcentral.
UACGUAGGGUGCAAGCGUUGUCCGGAAUUAUUGGGCGUAAAGAGCUCGUAGGCGGUCUGUCGCGUCUGCUGUGAAAACUCAGGGCUUAACCCUGAGCUUGCAGUGGGUACGGGCAGACUAGAGUGCAGUAGGGGAGACUGGAAUUCCUGGCGUAGCGGUGAAAUGCGCAGAUAUCAGGAGGAACACCGGUGGCGAAGGCGGGUCUCUGGGCAACAACUGACGCUGAGGAGCGAAAGCGUGGGGAGCGAACAGG